GACGAGGGGUCCAAGCGUUGUUCGGAAUCAUUGGGCGUAAAGCGGGUGUAGGCGGCCUUAUAAGUCAGGAGUGAAAGCCCCGAGCUUAACUCGGGAAGUGCUUUUGAUACUGCAAGGCUUGAAUGUGGGAGAGGGAUGCGGAAUUCCAGGUGUAGCGGUGAAAUGCGUAGAUAUCUGGAGGAACACCGGUGGCGAAGGCGGCAUCCUGGACCAAUACUGACACUGAGGAGCGAAAGCCAGGGGAGCAAACGGG
Molecule: ribosomal RNA, 253 nt
Filed under: uncultured bacterium
Lineage: Bacteria
Description: partial 16S ribosomal RNA
Rfam family: Bacterial small subunit ribosomal RNA
Source: RNAcentral